UACGGAGGGGGCUAGCGUUGUUCGGAAUUAUUGGGCGUAAAGCGCGCGCAGGCGGUUUCUUAAGUCUGAUGUGAAAGCCCACGGCUUAACCGUGGAAGGUCAUUGGAAACUGGGAGACUUGAGUGCAGAAGAGAAGAGCGGAAUUCCACGUGUAGCGGUGAAAUGCGUAGAGAUGUGGAGGAACACCAGUGGCGAAGGCGGCUCGCUGGGCCGGACCUGACGCUGAGACGCGAAGGCGUGGGGAGCGAACGGG
RNAcentral lists this ribosomal RNA (253 nucleotides) under uncultured bacterium. Its description in RNAcentral is "partial 16S ribosomal RNA". It matches the Rfam family "Bacterial small subunit ribosomal RNA", at positions 524 to 776 of the family's 1533-position model. The record is from RNAcentral.